This 498-nucleotide ribosomal RNA is filed under the name uncultured bacterium. Its description in RNAcentral is "partial 16S ribosomal RNA". It matches the Rfam family "Bacterial small subunit ribosomal RNA", at positions 14 to 507 of the family's 1533-position model. The record is from RNAcentral.
UGAGCCUGGCUCAAAUUGAACGCUGGCGGAAUGCUUUCCCUUUGAAAGUCGAACGGCAGCACGGGGGCAACCCUGGGGGCGAGGGGCGAACGGGUGAGUAAUACAUCGGAACGUGCCCAGUCGGGGGGGAUAACGUAGCGAAAGUUACGCUAAUACCGCAUACAAUCUACGGAUGAAAGCGGGGGAUCGCAAGACCUCGCGCGAUUGGAGCGGCCGAUGUCAAAUUAGGUUGUUGGGGGGGUAAAGGCCUACCAAGCCGACAAUCUGUAGCUGGUCUGAGAGGACAACCAGCCACACUGGGACUGAGACACGGCCCAAACUCCUACGGGAGGCAGCAGGGGGGAAUUUUGGACAAUGGGCGCAAGCCUGAUCCAGCCAUUCCGCGUGCAGGACGAAGGCCUUCGGGUUGUAAACUGCUUUUGUACGGAACGAAAAAGCCUCGGUUAAUACCCGGGGUCCAUGACGGUACCGUAAGAAUAAGCACCGGCUAACUACGUG